GGGUUGUGAGGUUAAGCGACUAAGCGUACACGGUGGAUGCCCUGGCAGUCAGAGGCGAUGAAGGACGUGCUAAUCUGCGAUAAGCGUCGGUAAGGUGAUAUGAACCGUUAUAACCGGCGAUUUCCGAAUGGGGAAACCCAGUGUGUUUCGACACACUAUCAUUAACUGAAUCCAUAGGUUAAUGAGGCGAACCGGGGGAACUGAAACAUCUAAGUACCCCGAGGAAAAGAAAUCAACCGAGAUUCCCCCAGUAGCGGCGAGCGAACGGGGAGCAGCCCAGAGCCUGAAUCAGUGUGUGUGUUAGUGGAAGCGUCUGGAAAGGCGCGCGAUACAGGGUGACAGCCCCGUACACAAAAAUACACAU
RNAcentral lists this ribosomal RNA (364 nucleotides) under Escherichia coli. RNAcentral describes it as "bacterial LSU rRNA". It matches the Rfam family "Bacterial large subunit ribosomal RNA", at positions 1 to 392 of the family's 2925-position model. Lineage: Bacteria; Pseudomonadati; Pseudomonadota; Gammaproteobacteria; Enterobacterales; Enterobacteriaceae. The record is from RNAcentral.